GCAUUCGCUUCGGCAGCACGUGUACUAAAAUUGGAACAACACAGAGAAGAUGAGCGCGGCCCUUGCGCAAGGAUGACAUGCAAAUUCAUGAAGUGGUCCAGAGCUUC
Molecule: small nuclear RNA, 107 nt
Organism: Vicugna pacos (alpaca)
Lineage: Eukaryota; Metazoa; Chordata; Mammalia; Artiodactyla; Camelidae
Source: RefSeq, a predicted model, not a curated record